GAUGAAGAACGUAGCGAAAUGCGAUACGUAAUGUGAAUUGCAGAUCUCUCAGUGAAUCAUCGAAUCUUUGAACGCACAUUGCGCCCGCCAGUAUUCUGGCGGGCAUGCCUGUUCGAGCGUCAUUACAACCCUCAGGCCCCCGGGCCUGGCGUUGGGGAUCGGCGGAGCCCCCCGUGGGCACACGCCGUCCCCCAAAUACAGUGGCGGUCCCGCCGCAGCUUCCAUCGCGUAGUAGCUAACACCUCGCGACUGGAGAGCGGCGCGGCCACGCCGUAAAACACCCAACUCUUCUGAAGUUGACCUCGAAUCAGGUAGGAAUACCCGCUGAACUUAAGCAUAUCAAUAAGCGGAGGA
This 354-nucleotide unclassified non-coding RNA is filed under the name soil metagenome. Its description in RNAcentral is "partial contains 5.8S ribosomal RNA, internal transcribed spacer 2, and large subunit ribosomal RNA". The stretch from base 1 to 122 matches the Rfam family "5.8S ribosomal RNA", at positions 35 to 154 of the family's 154-position model. The record is from RNAcentral.